RNAcentral lists this ribosomal RNA (301 nucleotides) under uncultured bacterium. Its description in RNAcentral is "partial 16S ribosomal RNA". It matches the Rfam family "Bacterial small subunit ribosomal RNA", at positions 509 to 807 of the family's 1533-position model. The record is from RNAcentral.
CAGUCGCCGCGGUAAUACGAAGGGUGCAAGCGUUAAUCGGAAUUACUGGGCGUAAAGCGUGCGCAGGCGGUUGUGUAAGACAGGUGUGAAAUCCCCGGGCUUAACCUGGGAACUGCGCUUGUGACUGCACAGCUAGAGUAUGGCAGAGGGGGGUGGAAUUCCACGUGUAGCAGUGAAAUGCGUAGAGAUGUGGAGGAACACCGAUGGCGAAGGCAGCCCCCUGGGCCAAUACUGACGCUCAUGCACGAAAGCGUGGGGAGCAAACAGGAUUAGAUACCCGCGUAGUCCCUGUCUCUUAUAC